Molecule: long non-coding RNA, 1850 nt
Organism: Equus caballus (horse)
Lineage: Eukaryota; Metazoa; Chordata; Mammalia; Perissodactyla; Equidae
Source: RefSeq, a predicted model, not a curated record
AAAAAAGCAGGAAAAUUUUUGGAUUCUGAUGAAGCAUUUAGACUAUAUCCUGCUGCUUCUCUCUCCAGAAAGUUCAAAACCAAAAGCAAGUACAAAUGGGCCGUCCAGAGAGAAAGGUGCGUGGCCUCGGAUGGAAGAAUGGUCAAUGUCUUCUUUCAUCAGGGGGGCCUCCGCACCCACCCCUGCCCCAGCGGGCCCAGCAGGCAGCAGCGUCCUCCUCAUGGCUUCUGGCCAGGCCUGUCUCUCUCGAAAAACAUAGGGAUUUCAUUUUGUCACACUAAAGUCAAAUGCCAGUGGCAACCAUCAAGAGCUUCUCCAGGAUUAAAACACCCUUUGUUUGAAAGGAGGGCAUUUUAUCUGGGAAGAGGAGCAUGCAGGUCCCAUGAGAUGGGUAAAAAUAGCCCAGGCAGGACUGACCCACCGAAGGAGGGCCCUGUGGGAUGACACAGAGCUCUGCUGAUGGGCGAAGCUGAUCUUCUGCAGGGCAGGAAAGAUCUCUCUCUCUGCAAGGACAACUGGGUAUCUUUCCACUGUUUCCUGGGUGACCUGGGAGCAGAUCGCCUGAGGCUGGAACCCUGGAAAGAUCUAAGCACAUGAGAUCCCAGAGGCAGAGCCAGAGACUUGUCCACUUGUCCCUAUGACCGCCUAAUCCAAGCCAACGCUGCCUUUCCUCCAGUGAGGGCCUCGGAACCCGUCCCUUAUUCCCACUCGCACUCCUGCAUCCAGAGCACGCUGCUCAAAAUGUUCAUCAGAGGAGAUCUCUCGCUUGCAAAAAUCCCUCCAAAUGGCUUCUAGUCAUCUUCAGAUUCAUGAAAUCCACACUGCUUCCUGCAGCCUCCACGGCCUCCACCUAGCCCGCCACCUUCAACUGCCCCUCCCUUGCUCUCGUCCAUCACCUUCUGGCGAUACAGGUCUUCUCUCUGAAUCUCCAGCAACUCGUCACAGCAAAGCAUUUGCACUUGCUGUUCCUUCUGCCUUCGAUGCUUUCCCCUGCUCUUCAUGCGGCUGAUUCUUCCUGUUCAGAGCUUGGCUCAAAUGUUACCUCCCCCAAAACCACAGUGAGCACACUGCCUAAAACCCAUUAUUUUCUAUCACAUCAUCUUACUUUCUUGAAAUAUGAAAAAAAAUUACUUCAAAAUUAAGAUAUAAUGUGUGGUGGUUUAAAAACAUGCCCACGAAUUCUUUGCUUCUACUGCCUUUAAGGAAUGAAGCUUCAUUCUCCUCCCCUCGAGCGUGGGCCGGACCUAGUGACUUGAUUCUAAUGGUGGAAUACGGUGGAAGAAAUGGUGUGUGACUUCGGAGACUAGGUCAUAAAGGGCGUCGUGGCCGCCUCCUCUGUUUGCUCUCUUCAGUCUCUUGUUUCCAGAGAAGCCGGGUGACAGGUCAUGAGGACGUGCAAGCAGCCCCAUGGAGAAGUCCACAUGGCAAGGAACUGUGCCCUCCUGUCAGCAACCAGCACCACCUUCCAGGCAAAUUGCUCGUGGGAAUGCUGAAGCAGUGAUAAUCAUAACAUAAUGCAGCCAGAGCUUCGCGCCAUCCUCCCCGGCUGUACACAGGACCCACUGCGAUGCGCUCAUGGGAACAGAAUGUUUUCCCCAGUGGACCUGCCACCAGCCCGCCUUUCACGACAUGUCAACCAGCUUCCCUCAAAACAAGAGGCUGAAGAGAGCAAACGAGGAGGAGGCCACGAUGCCUUUAGUCUCCAAAGUCACACACCAUCACUUCCACCUUCUCUUCUUGUCCUUCUCUUCCUGUUACUGCUUCCUAGACCAGCACUCAAGGAGCCAUUACUUUAAAAUGUGAAGAGAAAUAUGUGGGCUUAAUUUAAUAAUACAUUCUACUUAACCUAA